RNAcentral lists this long non-coding RNA (3865 nucleotides) under Gallus gallus (chicken). The record is from RNAcentral. Lineage: Eukaryota; Metazoa; Chordata; Aves; Galliformes; Phasianidae.
UCCCAUUUGACUUUCUUUAUUUUUUUGUAUCUUAACAAAUGUGACAAAUGAAACAUGGAGCUAUUUAUAUUCUGUUCUGAAAUAAAAAUGAUACAUUACUUCGAUGCCCAACAAUUACAUUAAAAAUCCAUUUAUUUAUGAAUGCUUCAUUGUAUUAGUACAUAUGCCUUGAUUUGGUGCAUAGGAGGUGGAUAGUUUAACGUGUUCAUCUGAAUACCAAUUUUUAAAAAGGUGUCAAGCUUUACUCUAUGACAGACAGGAGAUACAGGUUUGAGUUUCCAUGUAUUGCUGAGUACAGAUGAGACUGGAAUUUAAGCAAUAUUCAUUACCCUUGUAACAAAUAAUUUCACUGAGAGGUAUUUGUUUAAUUAGAAUCAAACGUAACUUUACAAUCAAAUAACAAGUAAAAAAAACAGUAUUUUUUUAAUAUGUGCAAUAGCUUGUUAGUCUCCUACUAUUUCUAAUUCUUUUUGUACUUUCUCUUGUAAUCAUAGUUGAAUAUCUAGGCUAAACAUUUCAGAAAUGAUUAGUAAUUUGGGGUGCCCAUUCAGAAUUACUCUACUGGAGCCCAAAAGGGAAUAUUUGGCACUUUCUGACAAUCUAACUCCUUCAAAGUAAUUUAUGUGGAGCUGAAAUAACUAAUCCUUACCGAACUUCUUCCAUCCAAAGAUACCAUAUAUUCAUCCCAGUGAACUCUGACAUGUAGUUUGUUCCACAUCCUCAGUCGCUCUGGUUAUCAGGCCAAGGAGCAAUAAUUAAGUCUGCAUAAACAUUUAGAAAAGUUUUAAAUUUCACUAGGCAGUUGAGCACUUUCACACACUACUUAUUUAUACACACAACUAAAUCAGCUCACUUAAUUUGCCCCUCUCUAUGUCUAAUCAACAUAACAGCUUGUUAUUCUGCUUAAACCAAGUAUUAAACCAAAUAUUUAAAAAUACAACAACAACAACAAAAAACUCUACUGGGUUUUACAAACAAGUAUAUGACAUAGUAGUUUGUUGUAAUGACUUAGGUUGGAGCAGCUUUCUUGUCCGGGACCUUAACAGCUCUCUCAGAACCAGUACUCAGAGACAAAGAUGUGAACAUUGACAAUGUUACGAUGAGAUACCACUCCACCCAUGACGUAGUUCAUCUCCAGUUUCAGGAUGGCAUGGAAAGGUCCAACAAUGGGUCUCACUUGGCGCACCACACCCACUGUCAUACCAUCCAUGUAACGCUUGAUGAUAUCAAAGGAUUCUCUUAAAUUUCCUUCUGUUAUGUCAAAUAUGAUAUCUGCCUGGUUGGCUGGAUAUGUAGGUGUAAUGGCACGAAGAAAAAUGAUCUCUUCAGGUCUUGUAAAUUCUCUGAAUGUGGGUAGUGAAAUGACAGUGUGGGAAAUUGUGUGGACUGGAUCCAACACACAGUUGACAUCAUUUGGUCGACAAGACUUAAUGCAACGGAUAGUAUCUGUCUUUUCAAGUCUGACAGUAUCUCCAGACUUGCGGUAAUUUUCUGGACAUUCCAAAGACAGACAGCGAAACCCUCCCUGGAUGUUAAAGCAGGUCUCAUUGAAAGAACAGUUGUGAGUUUCUGUAACACACUCAUCAAUAUCUUGGCAGUUGCGUGCAUUGGGUGCCAACCUGUAACCCGUGGAGGGACAAGUACAUUGAAAGCUCCCAGGAAUAUUAAUACACCGAAAAGAACAGAUGUGACCUCCAGUAGGUAAAGCACAUUCAUCAAUAUCUUCACAUGAAAUUCCAUCUAUGUCACUAAGUUGAAAGCCACGUCGGCAGUAACACUGAUAGGAGCCAUACACAUUGGCACACUCUUGACUACAUGGGCUGCUCUCACACUCAUUUAAAUCUUCACAUGACCUGCCAUCAGAUGAAAGCUUGAAUCCCAUGGUACAAGUGCAGUAGUAGGAACCAGGAGUAUUUUCACACUUGUGAGCACAAAGGCGGCCUGGAUAGCGUCUGCAUUCAUUGAUAUCAAUACAAGUUCUACUGAUGACAUCAAAAGAAUACCCAGACUUGCACUCACAGCGGUAAUUGCCUGGUCCAUUUAUACAAACAUGUCCUUCACCACAUGGCUGAUCAGAAGAUGAGCAUUCAUCCACAUCUACACAUCUCGUUCCAUCUUCGUUGAGAUGAUAACCUCGGCCACAGCUGGGUGAGAUUCGCUGACAGGUAUACGAGCCAUCAGUGUUGAUACAUAUCUGACCAGCUGGACACGGCAUGUUGGUGCUCAAGCAUUCAUUGAUAUCAAUACAGUUGCCUAGAGCAUCUUGUAUAAACCCAUUCAUGCACUGUAGCUUGGGUCGGCAACGGAAAGAUCCUGGAGUAUUCUGACAGAUAAAAUCGGGGGGGCAGUUAUGAGUACCAGUCUCACAUUCGUCAAUAUCUUUGCAACGACUGUCAUCAGUUAGCUCAUAACCAGUUCCACAGCUCGUGUCCCGCUGACAACGAAAAGAUCCUAAUGUAUUGACACAAGUUUGUCCAAUCCCACAGCUGUGUGUCCCAGUGAUACACUCGUUAAUAUCUUCACAGUUGACACCAUCUGGUUGAAGCUGAUAUCCAACAAAGCAGGAGCAGACAUAACUGGAUCCUGUGUCUCUGCACUGCUGAGAGCAGGGACCACCACCUCUGCAGCCAUCGUGCAGAUAAGGAUCUUCUUGGUCUAGUUCCUCCUUUGAAAUUUCAACUUGUUCCUUUUUAGGAGCAUCAUCACUGAUGGACACAUCCGUGCCUUCUUGACCCUUCACACAACAAGCUCUGAAGACAAUUCCACACUGGUAUCCUAUCUUCAGGUUGGGUUCACAGCUCUGGCCUUGAACUUGGGCAGUCUUUCCCAGUAGACAACAGUAACAACAUUUCUUAAAGUAUUCAGCUUCACAGGUGGAAUUUUCACCAUUGUGUGAGUCACACUCCUCAUGCACGCUGGCAAAUUCAAUCCCAUCUGAACAGUAGUGCUCCUCCAGCUUGCUGCGACAGCACUGCACCUGAGUCAUGCUGCAUUCUCUGGACUCAGAAAUUAAUGGUAGAGAAGUACAUAUUCUGUUUUUGUUUGCCCAUUCAACACCCUUGUCACAGCAUUCUUCCAUCGAAAGAUCUUGGCCCCGGAGCGCAGGCAGCAACGCCAGGAGCAGCAGCAGCAGCCGCAGCGGCCGGGCCCCGCGGAGCUUGUCCAUCGGCCGGCGGGAGCACUCGCACCGAGCGGGGCUUGGCUCUCCCCGCUUCUCGCUCGCCGCCGUUGCUGCUGUGGCUGAUGUUAUCCCAGCCGCCUGAGACCGGUUGGAAAAGAGCUCGCAGGAACCCCCCGCUCGGUGGGCUUUACAAAGAUUUAAUUCACUGCCUCCCCCGGUUAAUUACACAGCCUGCAAGUGCUCAGCAGAACUGAGCGGCACCGCGGCUCGGAGGCAGAGCCCCUGUUGCGCUGAUACCCCUACUCUCUCCUCGCCACCCCCACACAGGCUGUAAAUGUGACUCCCUUCGGCUCGGAAAACUUUACAGAUCCUCAGCAUGAACCUAGGGACGGCCUGACUGAUUCUGUGCGCGAGAAACGCAGCGAAUUCUGUCGGAGCCAAGUGGGAGAAAGCCACAAACAAAGGGAAGAACAUGUGGCCAUGGAUCCAACUAGCCCAACAGCUUGCUUUCAGCAGCGAUUGCAAGUGGUCACCAGAGGAAGGGCAAGCUCAAGGAAAGCCUUCUCUCAGCUAUCCUGCCAGCCUCCAGCUGCUUUGAGUUUGGAACAUUUCCUCAGAGCAAUGUAAUUUCUGUGUACUUAGUAGCCUUCAAUGAAUUCCUAUUCCAGCCAGCUUCAUGCAUCUUCUGCUGGUGCCUCCUCGUUGCUGCAGGAAGACACAUCAAAGAAGUGAGCUCUAUCCCCA